GACGUAGGGCGCGAGCGUUGUCCGGAUUUAUUGGGCGUAAAGAGCUCGUAGGCGGCUUGUUGCGUCGGCUGUGAAAUCCCGUGGCUUAACUGCGGGCUUGCAGCUGAUACGGGCGGGCUGGAGUUCGGUAGGGGAGACUGGAAUUCCUGGUGUAGCGGUGAAAUGCGCAGAUAUCAGGAGGAACACCGGUGGCGAAGGCGGGUCUCUGGGCCGAUACUGACGCUGAGGAGCGAAAGCGUGGGGAGCGAAUAGG
Molecule: ribosomal RNA, 253 nt
Filed under: uncultured bacterium
Lineage: Bacteria
Description: partial 16S ribosomal RNA
Rfam family: Bacterial small subunit ribosomal RNA
Source: RNAcentral